Molecule: ribosomal RNA, 469 nt
Filed under: uncultured Streptococcus sp.
Lineage: Bacteria; Bacillati; Bacillota; Bacilli; Lactobacillales; Streptococcaceae
Description: bacterial SSU rRNA
Rfam family: Bacterial small subunit ribosomal RNA
Source: RNAcentral
AGAGUUUUUUCCUGGCUCAGGAUGAACGCUGGCGGCGUGCCUAAUACAUGCAGGUAGAACGCUGAAGCUUGGUGCUUGCACCGAGCGGAUGAGUUGCGAACGGGUGAGUAACGCGUAGGUAACCUGCCUGGUAGCGGGGGAUAACUAUUGGAAACGAUAGCUAAUACCGCAUAACAGUAGAUAUUGCAUGAUAUCUGCUUGAAAGGUGCAAUUGCAUCACUACCAGAUGGACCUGCGUUGUAUUAGCUAGUUGGUGAGGUAACGGCUCACCAAGGCGACGAUACAUAGCCGACCUGAGAGGGUGAUCGGCCACACUGGGACUGAGACACGGCCCAGACUCCUACGGGAGGCAGCAGUAGGGAAUCUUCGGCAAUGGACGGAAGUCUGACCGAGCAACGCCGCGUGAGUGAAGAAGGUUUUCGGAUCCUAAAGCUCUGUUGUAAGAGAAGAACGAGUGUGAGAGUGGAAA